This 775-nucleotide ribosomal RNA is filed under the name uncultured Neocallimastigales. RNAcentral describes it as "partial large subunit ribosomal RNA". It matches the Rfam family "Eukaryotic large subunit ribosomal RNA", at positions 24 to 643 of the family's 3401-position model. The record is from RNAcentral. Lineage: Eukaryota; Fungi; Neocallimastigomycota; Neocallimastigomycetes; Neocallimastigales.
UAUGUGAUCGUCUCUCGCAUAUCAAUAAGCGGAGGAAAAGAAACUAACAAGGAUUCCCCUAGUAACGGCGAGUGAAGCGGGAAGAGCUCAAAUUUGAAAUCUUAAAGGGUUUCCCUUUACGAAUUGUAGUUUAAAGAAGUGUUUUCUGUUGAGGUUUUGGUAAAAGUUCUUUGGAAUAGGACAUCAUAGAGGGUGAGAAUCCCGUAUUUGACCUUUACUUUCAACUUUGUGAUACACUUUCAAAGAGUCGGAUUGUUUGGGAAUGCAGUCCAAAAUGGGUGGUAAAUUUCAUCUAAAGCUAAAUAUUGGCGAGAGACCGAUAGCGAACAAGUACCGUGAGGGAAAGAUGAAAAGAACUUUGAAAAGAGAGUUAAACAGUACGUGAAAUUGUCAAAAGGGAAGCGUUUGACACCAGUGUUGUUUUUCUGAAAAUCAAUUAAAGAACUGUUUAUGCUAAGUUGUUUAGACUUUAUCAGCUAACUGUUUAGUUUUGAGCUUUUCUUUAAUGCACUUUUCAGUUAACAAGUCAACAUCAAUUUCUUUUGCUGUAAAAAAGCUUGAGGAAGGUGGCUUGAGAUUCGUCUUAAGUGUUUAUAGCCUCUUGCCUAUGCAGUCGGAGAGAUUGAGGUCUGCAGCGUAGAUCCUUCGGGGCUAAAUGCAUUUGUGACUAAGUUAUAGCAUUUUAUAGACAACUUGUUGACUAUGAUUUGUCUUGUAGCUUACUCGCUUAUGUUAUUUUACCUACGCUUAGGAUGUUGACACACGCGCGUGCUCG